ACCUGGCAAAGAUUUUCUACACUUCUAUAGGCUUUCUUUGCCUGCUCUUGUUUCUAGUUUCUUCAGUUUUUAUUAUGAAUGGGUUAAAUAUUUAAAAGACUUUUUCUGUGUCUAUUGAGAUGUUCAUGUGCAUUUGUUUCUUAAUUAUAUUGGUGAUUAAUUAUAUGUGUUGAUUUGCUUAUAUCGAACCAUCUUCAUCUGUAGAAAGAAAACAAAUAAAUAAUGAUGGAGAACUUCUUAAUGUUUUCUUGAAUAUAAUUAGUUAAUAUUUUAUUAAGAAAAUUUGCAUCUGUCUUCAUCAAGGAUAUUGGUGUCUUGUUUUCUUUCCCAUAUGUAUCCUCAUCUUGUUUUAGUAUUAGCAUGAUUCUGGCUUAACAGAAUGAAUUUGGAUAUAUUUCACUCCUUAAUUGUAUCUCACUUACCUCUUCAAUCCUAAAUAUUCUUGAGUUUGGUCACUUAAUGUUUUUGCAGAUUUCUUGUAUAUCCUGAUCUGUUUUUUUUUUUUUUUUUAAAUUACUGACUAAAUAUUCAAGUUCAGUACUUUAUCUUCGAUACCUAAAAGUUUGUUUGCUAUCUGAUAAACUUAUAGACAUGUUAUUGGUAAGACUUUUAACUGAAUUACUUUAUUAAUUGAGUAUUUCAUUUCCAGACCUUUUGUAUGAUUAUUUUUCAUAAUCUGUAGCUCUUCAGUGAAUUUCUCAUUUGUAUCCUGUACUGAGUUUCUUAAUUCAUUCAGUUGUCUUUCUGUGUUCUCUUAGAAUUUGCAGAUAAUUAUCAUAGUCAUUAUUUUGAUUAUCAACAUUAUACAUUUUUCAUUUCUAUAUCAUCAGAGUCAGUUUCUGGUGAAUUAUGGAUCUCUUAAUUUGUCACAUUACCUGUUUUUUCAUAUUUCUGGUGUUCCUGUGUUGAGAUUAGGAAUGGAAUUUUUCUCCCACUUUUAUUUAAAAUCAUUUUAGGCCUCUUUAUGGCCUUCUUUUGGUGAAGUGUUCUGGAAUAUCAGGUUUUGGGGAAUUCCUAAAUAUAUUUCUAAGUUGUUUUUGUAGUGUUAUUUACAAUCCAUUUAGUAAGGAAAAAUGCUUUCAACACCCCAGUUACAUAAUGUUUAAUGCUCAUAUGUACAGGUAUUCUCAAAAUUAAUAUGUAAUUUCACACAUAUUAUAUCACUGUUGAUUUUCUUAAUUACUUUUAGCUGCAGUGAUAUUAUUCCCACUUUAAAUAUGAGGAGGCUGGGCCUCAGAGACACAAUGCCUUGGCCAAGGACAUACAAACUUCAUGUGGUAGAGAUAAGACUGGGCACCAUAUGCCUUAGUGUCAUAGUUUCCUCAAAGUAGAAAUACAGUUCAAACAAGUUCAGUGUGUACUGCAGAUGCCUUAUUUUACAUUAUUGCCUGAUUACACUAAUCAGUAACUUUCAAAUAGUCACUGACAAUAAUUGCAAUAUUCAUUGCUUGAAGGUACGUCAGAAGAAUUUGAAUUUUUAACCUUUGAAUUUGUCUUAACUCAGGAGUUGAUGAACUUUUAAUCUAUGUGAAGGUGAAGCAGUAAUUUGCUAUGUGACUCACAGAACUUUGACCUCUAGACUAACCAUCUCAGGCUCUAAAAACUAAGAAAACCACACUUUUUAUUGUUGAUAAAAUAAACUUGAUGGCUUUCUUUAGAGCAUUAGCUUCAUUCUCUACGAGAUGGAUUUCUCUCCUCUCCUUCUUAAUUCCAUGAAACUCCUACCUUAUCCAUUGACUUUGUAAUACAGAUAAUCAGAUGCCAUAUCAAACUUACGGGACAUAUCAAAAGCAGUACUAAAAGGAAGUUUAUGCAAUAAAUCC
RNAcentral lists this long non-coding RNA (1823 nucleotides) under Marmota monax (woodchuck). Lineage: Eukaryota; Metazoa; Chordata; Mammalia; Rodentia; Sciuridae. The record is from RNAcentral.